Molecule: long non-coding RNA, 2131 nt
Organism: Lagopus muta (rock ptarmigan)
Lineage: Eukaryota; Metazoa; Chordata; Aves; Galliformes; Phasianidae
Exons: 2
Source: RefSeq, a predicted model, not a curated record
AAUGAGGUCCCACGACCAUUAGCCCAAUCCUGCACAAAAGCAGAAAUCCUUCAGCAGCCAGGGCCGAGUGCCUCAGGCAGUGCUGCAGGGAGUCUGAGGAGCAAAGCAGAACAAGCGAGGCUGAUUCCAUUUGUCACAAGCACAGGGAAGCCGUGGUGUGUGGUUUGGUGCCAGCCCUGUGCCGUUGCAGGUGCUGUUUAUGUGACACACUGGUUCCCAUUUCUAAGCUGCACGUGUGGAAAGCCAGCUGUGUUUUCCUGGAGGAGUCAUUGUGUUUUAGCAUCAGAGCUGUAAAUAUAGUAACAUUUGUUUAAAUACGAACAUGCUUCAUAGAAAUGAGAAGUAAUGUUUGUUGGCUUUUCCAGCCGUUGCAUGUUAUAUGCAUUAAUUGUCAUAUUUCCAAGAAACUAACAUCUGUGGAAGGAGGGGGAAGUGUUCGUGAUUAGGGAUGUCCAACUGAGAUUAGCGUGAUACACUUUCAUGUUAGAUGUUGUACAAAAUGAAGUCAGGCUUUUCUUCUCAGUUCAGGCCUUGCUGCAUGCUGGUGUAUUGCAUUUAUGAAUGUAGUGGCCUUUUCCAUGGUUAGAUUGGUAGAUUAGAAAAUAGCUGCUUGAAAACCCUGCCGUGAGGGGUGGUCCUUGCCACAGCUGUGGUGAUUGCUUUAACGAUGGCAGCUGUGUGCUUAAUUAGGGCUGCGUGCGGUAACUGCCUGAUCUCAGUAGGAGUCUGAAGCUAGUAGAGGAGGUUUCUUCUGGACAAUGUGGUCUAUGUCUUGUGUUAAAGUAAGGGAUGAAAACGCAAAAUGUUUUCUGGACUCUGCCUUACUGAGAAAACAACUGUGAUACAGCAUCUCUCUUCCUACUUCUUUGAGGUCAUCUGUGGGCAAAACACCUGACUCACGAUAAUAAAUCUUUCCCCAUUUCUGUAGCUGGAUGUCUUUGCAGAAGGGCAUCUUCCGCUGCACAUGGAUAUCACUUGCAGCAGCAGGGCUGCACCUUUCCUCACACUGUGAGCUGCGUGGCACUGCGUGCUGUAAUAUGGACUGGCUGUAACAUACAGCUCUAAUAACAGUCUCUUUGGAGAUUUUUGCUUAGGAAACAAACCUGCUGUCGCAACACUAAAACCACACAAAGCCUUGGGGUUUCCACCUCCCUCUGCUUGGCCGCAAGUUAUAUCUGUAUCCUGUAGUUACCAACGGCAAAUAAACUGUGGGCUUUGGGGUUGGUUUUAAGCUGACUACAAGCUCAAUAUACCCAGAUGGCCCAACAAAACGUGCAGCCACUGUAUGGAAAGAUGGAAAGAGCCAUUAUGUGUCGUAUCACGGCUGUUCCCCCCACGCUGCUGCGAAGGUGAAGCGAGAAGGGGGCAGGGGGAGCUGCUGGACUCUCUCUCGCCCUGUAUGAAACUAAGCCGGCACCGUCACAUUGGGAAAAGCACCGAUGUAGACGAAAGGGAUGAGGCUGUGCUCGUACGCUAGGCUGGGUUUUGCGGCUUCACGGGCAGAGCUCGGGGCGGGCAUCCGUGCUGCUGGGGCAGCGCUGUUUCGUCCCGGAGCAGCACCACGAUGCUGAGCAGCGGGGCUGCGUGCCUUCAACUUGUCAACAAGCGAAACACGAAAGAAAUGAGAGCUGCCGAUUCAGCCCCGGCAGGUGCUGAGGAUGCUCGGUACCCCGCAGCUCUCCCUUAGGCUUGCAGUGCGCAGGAACGUGCCGCAGCCCCGAGCCUCCGCAGCAGCACUCCUCACCCAUCUACAGACGCAUUUUUUCCCUCGUAAGGACCGCGGCGGUCCCCGCGCCAGCUCCUACUCGGGGUGUAAGGCAAGCCGACUGCCGUCUCAAACCCCUCAGCGAGACGCUCCUCGAGGCGCCGACCGUGCUGAAGCCCUUUAUCGGACGGGGCUUCUACCUCCCCCCGCUCACGGUGCUCCCCGCUGUUUACAACGGGCGCGCCCCUCUGCUGGGAGCGCCGCUUCCGCCAGCCGCUCCUACCCCGCCGGCUGCCCGCUCCCCAACACCGGCACCUGCCGCCGCCCCGCCGCGCUUACCCUCAUCUUCCUGGGCGCCGCGCACAUACGCGAGUGCCGGGCGCGGGCCGGCCGGCAGCACAGCGCCCCGCUCCCGCCGCCCGUGAC